AGUGAACGCUGGCGGUAGGCCUAACACAUGCAAGUCGAACGGCAGCACAGUAAGAGCUUGCUCUUACGGGUGGCGAGUGGCGGACGGGUGAGGAAUACAUCGGAAUCUACUUUUUCGUGGGGGAUAACGUAGGGAAACUUACUCUAAUACCGCAUACGACCUACGGGUGAAAGCAGUGGAUCUUCGGACCUUGCGGGAUUGAAUGAGCCGAUGUCGGAUUGGCUAGUUGGCGGGGUAAAGGCCCACCAAGGGGACGAUCCGUAGCUGGUCUGAGAGGAUGAUCAGCCACACUGGAACUGAGACACGGUCCAGACUCCUACGGGAGGCAGCAGUGGGGAAUAUUGGACAAUGGGCGCAAGCCUGAUCCAGCCAUACCGAGUGGGUGAAGAAGGCCUUCGGGUUGUAAAGCCCUUUUGUUGGGAAAGAAAAGCAGCAGGUUAAUACCCCGCUGUUCUGACGGUAACCAAAGAAUAAGCACCGGCUAACUUCGUG
RNAcentral lists this ribosomal RNA (492 nucleotides) under uncultured bacterium. RNAcentral's name for it is "partial 16S ribosomal RNA". It matches the Rfam family "Bacterial small subunit ribosomal RNA", at positions 29 to 507 of the family's 1533-position model. The record is from RNAcentral.